GCGCCGCUAGCUCAACUGGCAGAGCAACUGACUCUUAAUCAGUAGGUUGAAGGUUCGAUUCCUUCGCGGCGCACCA
RNAcentral lists this transfer RNA (76 nucleotides) under Candidatus Eiseniibacteriota bacterium. RNAcentral's name for it is "Candidatus Eisenbacteria bacterium tRNA-Lys". It matches the Rfam family "tRNA". Rfam says of the family: Transfer RNA (tRNA) molecules are approximately 80 nucleotides in length. Their secondary structure includes four short double-helical elements and three loops (D, anti-codon, and T loops). Further hydrogen bonds mediate the characteristic L-shaped molecular structure. tRNAs have two regions of fundamental functional importance: the anti-codon, which is responsible for specific mRNA codon recognition, and the 3' end, to which the tRNAs corresponding amino acid is attached (by aminoacyl-tRNA synthetases). tRNAs cope with the degeneracy of the genetic code in two manners: having more than one tRNA (with a specific anti-codon) for a particular amino acid; and 'wobble' base-pairing, i.e. permitting non-standard base-pairing at the 3rd anti-codon position. RNAcentral also lists the same sequence under 1 other name. Lineage: Bacteria; Candidatus Eiseniibacteriota. The record is from RNAcentral.